CAGUAGCCGCGGUAAUACGUAGGUGGCAAGCGUUGUCCGGAAUUAUUGGGCGUAAAGCGCGCGCAGGCGGAUCAGUCAGUCUGUCUUAAAAGUUCGGGGCUCAACCCCGUGAUGGGAAAGAAACUACAUGUCUUGAGUACAGGAGAGGAAAGCGGAAUUCCCAGUGUAGCGGUGAAAUGCGUAGAUAUUGGGAGGAACACCAGUGGCGAAGGCGGCUUACUGGAAGAUAACUGACGUUGAGGCUCGAAGGCGUGGGUAGCAAACAGGAUUAGAGACCCCUGUAGUCCCUGUCUCUUAUACC
RNAcentral lists this ribosomal RNA (301 nucleotides) under uncultured bacterium. RNAcentral's name for it is "partial 16S ribosomal RNA". It matches the Rfam family "Bacterial small subunit ribosomal RNA", at positions 509 to 808 of the family's 1533-position model. The record is from RNAcentral.